GAUGAACGCUGGCGGCAUGCCUAAUACAUGCAAGUCGAACGAGAGGAAGGAAAGCUUGCUUUUCUGAAUCUAGUGGCGAACGGGUGAGUAACACGUAGGUAACCUGCCCAUGUGCCCGGGAUAACUUCUGGAAACGGAUGCUAAAACCGGAUAGGUAGCAGACAAGCAUUUGGCUGCUAUUAAAGUGGCUAAGGCCAUGAACAUGGAUGGACCUGCGGUGCGUUAGCUAGUUGGUGAGGUAACGGCCCACCAAGGCGACGAUGCAUAGCCGGCCUGGGAGGGCGGACGGCCACAUUGGGACUGAGACACGGCCCAAACUCCUACGGGAGGCAGCAGUAGGGAAUUUUCGUCAAUGGGGGGAACCCUGAACGAGCAAUGCCGCGUGAGUGAGGAAGGUCUUCGGAUCGUAAAGCUCUGUUGUAAGAGAAAAAUGACAUUCAUAGGGAAUGAUGAGUGAGUGAUGGUAUCUUACCAGAAAGUCACGGCUAACUACGUGCCAGCCGCCGCAGUAA
Molecule: ribosomal RNA, 512 nt
Filed under: uncultured bacterium
Lineage: Bacteria
Description: partial 16S ribosomal RNA
Rfam family: Bacterial small subunit ribosomal RNA
Source: RNAcentral